GAUAAAGCCUUUGAAACAGCUUUUUAGACACAGGAUCUUAGUAAAAGGGAAGAUAAACCACUGUGGAGGCUGGAAAUCUCUAUUACUACAGUGAACAGACAUUGCUCCCGGUGUUCCUUGUUUAUUGAUUGGCAGUGCUGGGGACCCCAGCCUUAACAGGCCAGCGUGCAUGGUCUACACUCAGCAGGGACAGGGCAUCCUGUUCCUCAGACUCCACACUGAGGCACGACCCAGCCCAGGGUCCCUGCAACCGAGACUGGGAGACAGGGAAGGUGCAGUGCAUGCAAGCUCCUGGGCCUCAGAGCACACAGCACAGAGGGUGGAGGGAGGGGGCGCUGUGGCCCUCAACCCACACAACAUGAGGAGGGACGAUGAGCGCCAGGCCGCCCGUGACCCCACUGGGGCAGAUCCAGACCCACCAGGCCCUUGGCUUCCAGCCCGCACCCUGCAUCUUUUACCCCACACCUUGAGGUGGAGGCCAGUGAGGAAGAACGCACAUCCUCCAAGGAUCCUGCAAGAGUCUUGGUCCAAAGCCCAGGGCCACAGGAGCCCCCAGGAGCCUCAAGACCAACCUGGCACCAGCGCUGCUAUCACCAGGUCAGGGAAGGGACUACAGGCACAGAGGAAUCCCCAGCUGUGCAGGGUUGCAGGAAGGACAGGCGCACACAGAACCAGACUGAAGCACCGGAUGCCCUGUCCUUCAGUGCCAGAGGACAACACACCACAGCAGGAAGCAUUGAGAGCAUUCAGAGCCCUGACCUCACUGGCACUGGAAUAAGGAGCUGGAAACAGACCAGGCAGUGCUCAACAUGGGGAUGCUCCUGGGGCGUACAUAAAACACCUAAUUCAAGAAGUGGAGCUCUUAGCUUGAGCUCCAGUCAGUGAGCUGAAAUGGAAAACAAACAAAACAAAACAAAGAAGUAUGUCAAAGCAGAGAAACAUGAAAGAUAUGCAAGCAAUGUUUAAGACCAAACAAAUUCUUGAGAUGAAAACUCCUUUCAGCAAAAUUAGAAACAUGAAGUCAUCAACAGCAGGAAAGACAAACACACAAAGAAAUGGUUAUGUCAAGGACAGAUUAUUUGAAAAUACACAAUUGAAGGUGGAAAAAAAGGAGAG
This 1116-nucleotide long non-coding RNA is filed under the name Heterocephalus glaber (naked mole-rat). RNAcentral's name for it is "lncRNA (ENSHGLG00100039502.1)". The record is from RNAcentral. Lineage: Eukaryota; Metazoa; Chordata; Mammalia; Rodentia; Bathyergidae.